This 425-nucleotide ribosomal RNA is filed under the name uncultured bacterium. Its description in RNAcentral is "bacterial SSU rRNA". It matches the Rfam family "Bacterial small subunit ribosomal RNA", at positions 355 to 796 of the family's 1533-position model. The record is from RNAcentral.
UAGGGAAUUUUCCACAAUGGGCGAAAGCCUGAUGGAGCAACGCCGCGUGCAGGAGGAAGGCCUUCGGGUUGUAAACUGCUUUUAAGGGGGACGAUUAUGACGGUACCCCUAGAAUAAGGAUCGGCUAAUUCCGUGCCAGCAGCCGCGGUCAUACGGAAGAUCCAAGCGUUAUCCGGAAUUACUGGGCGUAAAGAGUUGCGUAGGUGGCAUAGUAAGCAAAUAGUGAAAUCGUGUGGCUCAACCACAUACCCAUUAUUUGAACUGCUAAGCUAGAGCAUGAGAGAGGUAGAUGGAAUUUCUAGUGUAGGAGUGAAAUCCGUAGAUAUUAGAAGGAACACCGAUGGCGUAGGCAGUCUACUGGCUCAUUGCUGACACUAAGGCACGAAAGCGUGGGGAGCGAACGGGAUUAGAUACCCCCGUAGUCC